RNAcentral lists this unclassified non-coding RNA (219 nucleotides) under Hevea brasiliensis (rubber tree). Lineage: Eukaryota; Viridiplantae; Streptophyta; Magnoliopsida; Malpighiales; Euphorbiaceae. The record is from RNAcentral.
AAAGCAACUGCCUUGGCUCUGAUUCUGGAUGCAAAAAUCUCAGGAAGUAGAAGAGCUGGUACCGGACCAGCACCCAAUGAAAAAGAUAAUACAUAUAGAACCGUGCCAAGAACAGCAAGUGUUCCUGAAUAGGGUGCUAGGACUUCCCAAGUGAAGGACAAGGAAAGAAGCAACAUUGAAAGAGCCAUUCCCGUAAAGCUUGUAAUUAGAAGAUUUUUU